UGCGAAGCUGAUGGUUCACGCCGCGUGCAGGAUGAAUGCCUUCGGGUUGUAAACUGCUUUUAUAUGUGACGAUUAUGACGGUAGCAUAUGAAUAAGGAUCGGCUAACUCCGUGCCAGCAGCCGCGGUCAUACGGAGGAUCCAAGCGUUAUCCGGAAUUACUGGGCGUAAAGAGUUGCGUAGGUGGCAUAGUAAGCGAGUAGUGAAAGCGUGUGGCUCAACCAUACAUCCAUUACUUGAACUGCUAAGCUAGAGGAUGAGAGAGGUUAUUGGAAUUCCCAGUGUAGGAGUGAAAUCCGUAGAUAUUGGGAGGAACACCGAUGGCGUAGGCAGAUAACUGGCUCAUUCCUGACACUAAGGCACGAAAGCGUGGGGAGCAAACGGGAUUAGAUACCCCGGUAGUCCACGCCGUAAACUAUGGAUGCUAGCUGUUAGAGGUAUCGACCCCUCUAGUAGCGAAGCUAACGCGUUAAGCAUCCCGCCUGUGGAGUACGGUCGCAAGACUAAAACAUAAAGGAAUUGACGGGGACCCGCACAAGCGGUGGAGCGUGUUGUUUAAUUCGAUGGUAAGCGAAGAACCUUACCCAAGCUUGACAUCUUGGAAGCCUGUGAAACAGAGUGUGCCUUCG
This 627-nucleotide ribosomal RNA is filed under the name uncultured bacterium. RNAcentral's name for it is "bacterial SSU rRNA". It matches the Rfam family "Bacterial small subunit ribosomal RNA", at positions 376 to 1022 of the family's 1533-position model. The record is from RNAcentral.